RNAcentral lists this ribosomal RNA (253 nucleotides) under uncultured bacterium. Its description in RNAcentral is "partial 16S ribosomal RNA". It matches the Rfam family "Bacterial small subunit ribosomal RNA", at positions 524 to 776 of the family's 1533-position model. The record is from RNAcentral.
UACGUAGGGUGCUAGCGUUGUCCGGAUUUAUUGGGCGUAAAGGGCUCGUAGGCGGCGUGUCGCGUCGGGAGUGAAAGCCCGCUGCUUAACGGCGGGUUGGCUUCCGGUACGGGCAGACUAGAGUGCGGUAGGGGAGAUUGGAACUCCUGGUGUAGCGGUGGAAUGCGCAGAUAUCAGGAAGAACACCGAUGGCGAAGGCAGAUCUCUGGGCCAGUACUGACGCUAAGGCGCGAAAGCGUGGGGAGCGAACAGG